This is a long non-coding RNA of Lingula anatina, 1391 nucleotides long. Lineage: Eukaryota; Metazoa; Brachiopoda; Lingulata; Lingulida; Lingulidae. The record is from RefSeq and is a predicted model, not a curated record.
AUAGUUUAAGUCCAUUAUUCUGUAAGUGGUCUGCACUGUUAAUCCUUCCUGCAAAGUUCUGAGAAAAGGUGACAUCUUUAUUAUUAGUUUUCUGAAAUGUAUGGGUUAAAGACUCCACUUUUUGUGUGUUGGUAUUUUAAUUAAAAUUAAGUUUUGUUGAUUCAAUUGCCCUUGGGGCCAGUCUUUAAUUCAGGCACUGUCUUAAGAUGUGCAUAUCUUCAGAGUUGCUAAAGUCUAGUUUGCCUAUCUCAGGGAAAAUAGUUUCUGAGCCACUUUUACAUACAUAAGAGAACUUUAAACAAUUUUGACAAUCACCACUGUAACAACUAAUUAUAGAGUCAAUAACAUAUCUCAGUGCCCUUUUAAUCAACUCUAUGGUCCCUUGAUUUGUUCUUAAGCAAGUCAUCAAUGCAGAAUAGCAGCGCAUUGCUAUAUAUGCGCUGAGCAAAGUGUUUUCGCAUUUUGUCUCUAGUGUUUUUGAUUUUGCUGGAAACACUUGACCAGAAAAUGGUGCUUUUUUUCUAUUUGUUUUUUCAGAGCUUUGGUAAAGUGUCGUAUGUUCCGAAGACUUUCAACACUGUCAUAUGCAGAGUGGGCUCGGCUAUCACCAUCAGUAGCUAGUUAAGGUGCCAACUGUGACCUCUCCAGAAAUAUCCUCAAGGAUCUGCUGCACAUAGAUUGGCUGUGCAGACUCCACUGUGCUCUGGACAGUAGACAUCUUCCCCUCUACUUCUGAGCAGGUACCUUUACCAUACAGCAUGGUUAGCAAGUGACUACUGAGACAGGAGCCAGGGACAGGUGUUUUUAUAGUAUUGUCUCUCCCAGGUGUGCAGAAAAACAGGCAACUGCAUGACCCCAGUGCAGGGCAGGGGGGGAGGGGUACCCAGCUUAGUGGUGCAAUGUGGGCUUAGUGACAUAUACAGCAACCACAUUUUCAACUUGACAGGGCUCAGUCACCAAGAGAUCAUUCUCAGUCAUAUUGGGCAGCGCAGUUGGCAGUGUAUGAAGGUUUUAAUUUUUGGUGUCUGAAGGACCAGGCACAGUUGUGGUGCAGUCGUGAGACCUCUGGCGUGAGACCUCUGGCGGAGGGAGCUACUGACUGUGAGUGGUGCAGUGGUUUGUUUACAAACAGAGGGGUGCACAUGUUCAAGUAAUGCCGGUAAGAAAGUUUUCUUGAUGACAGUAUAUUUUUGUGCCAUUUGGAGUUAUGUCAGUGUGUUUGCUGUCAAUGGGGAUGUGAAAUGUUUCACCUAUUUAUUUUGUUCAUGCAGUUUUACAGGCAUUUCUUAGUAUGGCCAUCAGUGGGAAAUUAUAUGGUGGUUUCUGCCCUGGGGCCGGUUUCACAAAGCAGUAGUUAGUUAGCGAUCGAUAGUUAGCCUCACGCUAGUUAU